Molecule: ribosomal RNA, 934 nt
Filed under: anaerobic digester metagenome
Description: bacterial SSU rRNA
Rfam family: Bacterial small subunit ribosomal RNA
Source: RNAcentral
GGCUGGAACUGCCAGUGUAGGGGUGAUAUCCGUUGAUAUUGGCAGGAACGCCAGAGGUGAAAACGAGCCACUGGGAUAUCUUUGACACUGAGGCACGAAAGUGUGGGGAGCAAAAAGGAUUAGAUACCCUUGUAGUCCACACCCUAAACGAUGCCGACUAGCUGUUUCGAGUAUCGACCCUCGGAGUGGCGAAGCUAACGCGUUAAGUCGGCCGCCUGGGAAGUACGGCCGCAAGGCUAAAACUCAAAGGAAUAGACGGGGACUCGCACAAGCGGUGGAUCAUGAGGUUUAAUUCGACACAAAACGAAGAACCUUACCAGGGCUUGAAAUGCUAGUGAAGGUUGUCCGAAAGGAUAGCCGUCUUUUCAAGGACGCUAGCACAGGUGCUGCAUGGUUAUCGUCAGCUCGUGGCUUGAGUUGUUCCCUUAAGUGGGGUAACGAGCGCAACCCUUAUUGCAUGUUAAAUCUGUCAUGCAAAACUGCCCCCGCCUAAGUUUUCAAUUUUUAAUUUAUUUAGCAUUUGCUAAUUAGAUUAAAUUUUUUAUUUGAAAAUUUAGGCGGGGGAGGAAGGAGGGGAUGACGUUAAAUCAGCAUGGCCUUCUGAUGUCCUGGGCGACACUCAUGAUACAAUGGUCGGUACAAAGGGUUGCCAAGCCGUAAGGCGGAGCUAAUCUCAAAAAACCGGCCCCAGUUCGGAUUGAGGGCUGCAACUCGCCCUCAUGAAGCCGGAAUCGCUAGUAAUCGCGGAUCAGCCAUGCCGCGGUGAAUACGUUCUCGAGUCCUGUACUCACCGCCCGUCACGUCAAGGGAGCCGGGAACAGCCGAAGUCUCGCCCUUUUGGCAUUAUUAUUUAGUGCUAAAAGGGCGGGAUCAAGCUGGGCUCGGUAACAGGGACGAAGUCGUAACAAGGCACCGGUAGCGGAAGCUGUCGGUG